This 87-nucleotide transfer RNA is filed under the name Streptomyces purpurascens. RNAcentral describes it as "tRNA-Gln". The record is from RNAcentral. Lineage: Bacteria; Bacillati; Actinomycetota; Actinomycetes; Kitasatosporales; Streptomycetaceae.
GCGGACUGGCGGAGGUCGCGAUCGCCGUCUGACGGCGACAGGUCAUCGAGGGCCGCACCCCCGGGUUGGACGCCUGGGGUGCGGCCC